This 746-nucleotide ribosomal RNA is filed under the name uncultured archaeon. Its description in RNAcentral is "bacterial SSU rRNA". It matches the Rfam family "Archaeal small subunit ribosomal RNA", at positions 173 to 922 of the family's 1478-position model. The record is from RNAcentral.
GAAUGGUUUUUGAUCAAAAUCUAUAUGGCCUUUGGAUUGGACUGCGACCGAUCAGGCUGUUGGUGAGGUAAUGGCCCACCAAACCUGUAACCGGUACGGGCUCUGAGAGGAGGAGCCCGGAGAUGGGUACUGAGACAAGGACCCAGGCCCUAUGGGGCGCAGCAGGCGCGAAACCUCUGCAAUAGGCGAAAGCCUGACAGGGUUAUUCUGAGUGACUUUCGCUAAGAAAGUCUUUUGACAUCUCUAAAAAUGGUGUAGAAUAAGGGGUGGGCAAGUCUGGUGUCAGCCGCCGCGGUAAUACCAGCACCCCGAGUGGUCGGGACGAUUAUUGGCCCUAAAGCAUCCGUAGCCGGUCAUGCAAGUCCUCCGUUAAAUCCACCUGCUCAACAGAUGGGCUGCGGAGGAUACUACAAGGCUAGGAGGCGGAAGAGGCAAGCGGUACUCAGUGGGUAGGGGUAAAAUCCUCUGAUCCAUUGAAGACCACCAGUGGCGAAGGCGGCUUGCCAAUACGCGCUCGACGGUGAGGGAUGAAAGCUGGGGGAACAAACCGGAUUAGAUACCCGGGUAGUCCCAGCUGUAAACGAUGCAGACUCGGUGAUGGGCCGGCUUUAUGCCGGCUCAGUGCCGCAGGGAAGCCGUUAAGUCUGCCGCCUGGGGAGUACGGUCGCAAGACUGAAACUUAAAGGAAUUGGCGGGGGAGCACCACAAGGGGUGAAGCCUGCGGUUCAAUUGGAGUCAACGCCGGA